RNAcentral lists this long non-coding RNA (1040 nucleotides) under Ananas comosus (pineapple). RNAcentral's name for it is "long non-coding RNA (ACOM_LNC012104)". Lineage: Eukaryota; Viridiplantae; Streptophyta; Magnoliopsida; Poales; Bromeliaceae. The record is from RNAcentral.
AAUAUAUCUUAAGUUUUCAGUUUUGAUCCCGUUUGGUCACUGAAAAUUGUACCGAACUGUAAUCUUUAUCAGAUAACUAUCGGAUUUUAUUUCUCACUCUACGGGUGUCAGAAAAAUAUGAAACCUUAAAUCUAGCCUCAUAAAAAUAUUUCUGACUUAUCCUCCAAUUUUCAUAAUUUUUUGAGACUGUGCAUUUUCUGCUAAUUUAUCGGUUCCGUUUCCAACAGAAAAUUCUAAAUCUUCUGUUUUCAUUCCGAUUUUAGCACAAGUCAUUUCUGACUUAUGUUUUACUUCUCUAAAUCCAAUAAAAAUAGCUUCUCACACUAUUUUUAUUUAUUUUUAUUUUUAUACCAAAAUCUGGUAUGUUACAGAAAGGGAAGGUUUCUCUCUCCCUCUCCAUGCGUGUGUGUUGGUGUGUGUGUGUUGCUCGGUUGAAGGAGAAGAAGAAGAAGACAACUCCUUUAUAUAGUCAACACCCCAAAACACUAUUACAACCAACGGUUUAGCUUUCAGAAUCUGAUACUUUUCGCCGGAGCCCUUCUGCAUAUCCAUUUGCACUCAAAUUUGAUAGUCAGGCUCGGUUUUCCUUAAUAAGAAAGAAAAUAUCUUAAGUUUUCAGUUUCGACCAUUUUUGGUCAUCGAAAGCUCUAUCGAACUAAAAUCUCUAUCAGAUAGCAGUUGGAUUUUAUUUUCCACUUUCUGGGUGUCAGAAUGAUAUGAAACUUUAAAUCUAGCCUCAUAAAAAUAACCUUGACAUAUUGCCAGAUUUUCGUAAUUUUCUGACACUCUGAAUUUUCUGCUAAAAAUAUCAGCCCCACUUCUUACAGAAAAUUCUAGAUCUCCUGUUUUCAUUCCGAUUUCAGUACAAGUCAUUCCAGACUUACAUUUUACUUCGUUAAGUCCAAUAAAAAUAGUAUCUCACACUAUUUUUAUUUACACUUACUUUUAUAUUAAAACUCGGUACAUUACAAUCUUGGUGUGCAAAGAAACAACCUAUCGUAUCUCGUUCUAGUACGUAAACUGAAUAUCGCUCUCUCGCC